RNAcentral lists this small RNA (92 nucleotides) under Flavobacterium crassostreae. RNAcentral's name for it is "Flavo-1 RNA". It matches the Rfam family "Flavo-1 RNA". Lineage: Bacteria; Pseudomonadati; Bacteroidota; Flavobacteriia; Flavobacteriales; Flavobacteriaceae. The record is from Rfam by way of RNAcentral.
UAUUUGCCGGAUUUCUGUGUGAAGGAUAGCAGUGAAAAUCCUUUUAUGAAGCCUUGCGGAAUAAAAGAUUGUAACGAAUAGCCUGACGGCAA